AAGGAGGCUACUGAUUCUGGCCCUGUGACACUUGGUGGUGACGUGUGAGCUGAUUCACCUGGACACUCAGCAAAAUAUGGACUCUACACCAUGAGGCAGGCACACGUUAAUACUCUAUAAGAGCACAUAAGGUGAGCAACACCACAGAUUAUUAUUACUGUACACUGUCCUGGAUUUGUUUUCUUUCUGCAUCUCAUCAUUAGCCUGGCUGAUCACCUGAUAACUCCUGUCAUCUGGUUAUGACAGCAUGAGGAUGUCCUCACACACCUGUAACCUAUCAGCUCAUCUGGCAGAAUAGAGAGAGAAGAGACAACACCACAUCUCCUGUUCCUGGAAAGCCUUCAGCCAUCCUUCGAUGACUGAGAACCUCCAUCAGCUCUGUCUCCUGUCUGCCUACAGUUAUUAUAAUAAAUAUUGUGUUUGACAAGU
Nothobranchius furzeri (turquoise killifish) is the source of this 429-nucleotide non-coding RNA. NCBI's taxonomy places the organism in Eukaryota, Metazoa, Chordata, Actinopteri, Cyprinodontiformes, Nothobranchiidae. The record is from RefSeq and is a predicted model, not a curated record.